Leptospira weilii serovar Topaz str. LT2116 is the source of this 123-nucleotide small RNA. It matches the Rfam family "Flavo-1 RNA". NCBI's taxonomy places the organism in Bacteria, Pseudomonadati, Spirochaetota, Leptospiria, Leptospirales, Leptospiraceae. The record is from Rfam.
AUACAACGCGUGAGCGAUCGAAGUGGAAAUCCUGCAACGCAACAUGUAUUGAAUGCGGAAACUGGAAUAUACGAAAAGUUUGAAAUGUUGCGUUGCAGAUUGAAGCGAAGAGCGCGACCCGUA